UGCACCCCUCGGCUUGACCUCUGAUGGCCGUUGCAACAACAUCAAAGCCUUUGGAACUUUGUAGGGGGAUGCCGAAGGACCUGUUCAAAGUAUUUUCUGUAACUCCAACUGUAACUUGGUUCUAGGAGGAGAGAAUCCAUGUUUGGUCAACAGAACUUUUCGCCGCCACUUAAGUUUACUGCUUCAAUAUCUUUUCCUUACUAAUUGAUUGUUAAUUAAGUAGUGUCCAAGUGAGUUAGCCUUUUUAGGGUUGAUUAAUUAAAAGAGCAGCAAGAAUGGCA
This 281-nucleotide long non-coding RNA is filed under the name Homo sapiens (human). Its description in RNAcentral is "non-protein coding lnc-TPST1-1:5". Lineage: Eukaryota; Metazoa; Chordata; Mammalia; Primates; Hominidae. The record is from RNAcentral.